This 468-nucleotide ribosomal RNA is filed under the name uncultured bacterium. RNAcentral describes it as "partial 16S ribosomal RNA". It matches the Rfam family "Bacterial small subunit ribosomal RNA", at positions 28 to 507 of the family's 1533-position model. The record is from RNAcentral.
GACGAACGCUGGCGGCGUGCUUAACACAUGCAAGUCGAACGGAAAGGCCCUGCUUUUGUGGGGUGCUCGAGUGGCGACCGGGUGAGUAACACGUGAGUAACCUGCCCUUGACUUUGGGAUAACUUCAGGAAACUGGGGCUAAUACCGGAUAGGAGUUCCUGCUGCAUGGUGGGGGUUGGAAAGUUUCGGCGGUUGGGGAUGGACUCGCGGCUCAUCAGCUUGUUGGUGGGGUAGUGGCUUACCAAGGCUUUGACGGGUAGCCGGCCUGAGAGGGUGACCGGCCACAUUGGGACUGAGAUACGGCCCAGACUCCUACGGGAGGCAGCAGUGGGGAAGAUUGCACAAUGGGCGGAAGCCUGAUGCAGCAACGCCGCGUGCGGGAUGACGGCCUUCGGGUUGUAAACCGCUUUCGCCUGUGACGAAGCGUGAGUGACGGUAAUGGGUAAAGAAGCACCGGCUAACUACGUG